CCUUCCUAGAAAUGCUGCCGGUUGGGUUGC
RNAcentral lists this non-coding RNA (30 nucleotides) under Rattus norvegicus (Norway rat). The record is from RNAcentral. Lineage: Eukaryota; Metazoa; Chordata; Mammalia; Rodentia; Muridae.